AGUGAACGCUUUCUUUAGGCCUAACACAUGCAAGUCGAACGGCAGCACAGUAAGAGCUUGCUCUUACGGGUGGCGAGUGGCGGACGGGUGAGGAAUACAUCGGAAUCUACUUUUUCGUGGGGGAUAACGUAGGGAAACUUACGCUAAUACCGCAUACGACCUACGGGUGAAAGCAGGGGAUCUUCGGACCUUGCGCGAUUGAAUGAGCCGAUGUCGGAUUAGCUAGUUGGCGGGGUAAAGGCCCACCAAGGCGACGAUCCGUAGCUGGUCUGAGAGGAUGAUCAGCCACACUGGAACUGAGACACGGUCCAGACUCCUACGGGAGGCAGCAGUGGGGAAUAUUGGACAAUGGGCGCAAGCCUGAUCCAGCCAUACCGCGUGGGUGAAGAAGGCCUUCGGGUUGUAAAGCCCUUUUGUUGGGAAAGAAAAGCAGCAGGUUAAUACCCCGCUGUUCUGACGGUACCCAAAGAAUAAGCACCGGCUAACUUCGUG
Molecule: ribosomal RNA, 492 nt
Filed under: uncultured bacterium
Lineage: Bacteria
Description: partial 16S ribosomal RNA
Rfam family: Bacterial small subunit ribosomal RNA
Source: RNAcentral